CCCAGCUAAAUAUCAGCAAGGACUGCUAAAC
This 31-nucleotide non-coding RNA is filed under the name Homo sapiens (human). Lineage: Eukaryota; Metazoa; Chordata; Mammalia; Primates; Hominidae. The record is from RNAcentral.